This 467-nucleotide ribosomal RNA is filed under the name uncultured bacterium. RNAcentral's name for it is "partial 16S ribosomal RNA". It matches the Rfam family "Bacterial small subunit ribosomal RNA", at positions 328 to 792 of the family's 1533-position model. The record is from RNAcentral.
AGCCCAGACUCCUACGGGAGGCAGCAGUGAGGAAUAUUGGUCAAUGGGAGGAAUCCUGAACCAGCCAUGCCGCGUGCAGGACGACGGCUCUACGAGUUGUAAACUGCUUUUGUACCGGGGUAAAAUGCCUUACGAGUAGGGUUUUGAAAGUACGGUACGAAUAAGGAUCGGCUAACUCCGUGCCAGCAGCCGCGGUAAUACGGGGGAUGCAAGCGUUGUCCGGAAUCAUUGGGCGUAAAGAGUUCGUAGGUGGCACGUUAAGUCUGGUGUUAAACGCAGAGGCUCAACCUCUGUUCGGCACUGGAUACUGGCGAGCUUGAAUGCGGUAGAGGUAAAGGGAAUUCCUGGUGUAGCGGUGAAAUGCGUAGAUAUCAGGAGGAACAUCGGUGGCGUAAGCGCUUUACUGGGCCGUAAUUGACACUGAGGAACGAAAGCCAGGGUAGCAAAUGGGAUUAGAUACCCCAGUA